This 73-nucleotide transfer RNA is filed under the name Candidatus Staskawiczbacteria bacterium RIFCSPHIGHO2_01_FULL_39_25. RNAcentral describes it as "tRNA-Val". It matches the Rfam family "tRNA". From Rfam's summary of the family: Transfer RNA (tRNA) molecules are approximately 80 nucleotides in length. RNAcentral also lists the same sequence under 2 other names. The record is from RNAcentral. Lineage: Bacteria; Candidatus Staskawicziibacteriota.
GGGCGCUUAGCUCAGUUGGUAGAGCAGGAUAUUUACACUAUCAAGGUCGGGGGUUCGAGUCCCUCAGCGCCCA